Molecule: long non-coding RNA, 1364 nt
Organism: Candoia aspera
Lineage: Eukaryota; Metazoa; Chordata; Lepidosauria; Squamata; Candoiidae
Exons: 2
Source: RefSeq, a predicted model, not a curated record
GCUGCGCUGGUGAACUUCCGGAAGAAGCAGGUGGAGCUGAGGUGUGUGCACUGAGGAUGCAACCAAAAGGGAAGGGGGAACAUGCUUGGAAAGAAAGUCUAGGAGCUAUGAGGAGGUGUUGCCCUUUUCAGGGCAAGUGAAGGUUGCCAAAAGAGGAGGAGUUGUGAAGGUCAAGAGAGCCAUUCCCAAGAAUGUCAAGGAUGACUGGAUGAGAUCCAUCACUCUCGUCAAUCAUCACCAAGGGGAUCUGGUUCCAGAGCUGCAAGUUGAGCUUCUCACUAACAUUUGCUGCAGAGGUAACAGAUGCAUUCUCCUGGAGAGGUUGCAGGAUCCUUUCAAGGGCUGCCUCAAUGAGGUCAUCCAAAUCCUUCAGGAAGGGCUUCACCUUGGAAUACCUAAGACAUACCCCAAAGAAAAUUCAUGCCAGGUUUGGUCAUCAAAGAUGGAAAAUGCAAAGAGGAUCUUACGCACCAGCCCACACAUCCCCAAAUAAUAACUGUCACUAGGCCAGGCAGGAAGCCGAACCAAGGGACACGUCAAAAUCCUAAGAUGCCUGCCUCCUUCCCCCUUAACAGAGAGAGGCUCACUAUUUCUGAGCUUCUCUAGCAUCUGCCAGCUAAGCUGUCAGUAUCUCCAGCACAAUACUUUCUCUCCUGAGUUAAGGUCAACCGAGAGCCUGGUUCUUGCCAGAGGUGCCAACUGGUCCUAGAAUCCGUGGCCUCUGGGCCAAAUUAAGCUUCAAUAGGGCCUUCCAGAAGGAAAUGUGGAGAAAACUUUGUGAGAUUUCGAGCCCUCUGUCAAAGUAACUGGCUUGGCCUUAUAGCUCAUGGGCAGCCUAGGUGAAAUCCCAUCAGCUAAGGACCUCAGAUGGUAACAGCAGUACCAGCUGCAGCUGAUGGUCCUUGAAUCCUGGAAUUGUCCAGAGUACAGAGGCCCUCUGUAUUCUGAUACUAGUCUGGAUUCCUGCAGAGGGAACUCACCGGAAAGGACUUGCAUUGCAGAUGGUAACAGCGGGGAACGUCAUGGUCUUGAAGCCUAUGGCCAGAGAGGCUGUGACGUUAUAGGACAGGUAGGUGUUGAUGAGGAUUCCCCACUGCCAAAACACCAGCGAAGCAAAGAGCAGAGUCAGGAAGAACCAGAUCAGCUUCUUCUUUGGACCCUCACAAAUGAUGCGCUUGGGCCCGUGGGUGUUAGUGUUGUCGCAGUACCAGACCAGCAGCUCCUGAUAGGUGUAUCCAGGGCCCUUCUGGAGGCGGUGCAGAGCCUUCACGAAGUACUUCUUCAGAGUCAUUUGAGAAGCUUUUGCAGAACAACAGAAAAGGUGUGUGAGAGAAAUGGAAUAAGAACCUGGAUUUUUUUUUAAA